CAGCAGCCGCGGGAACACGUAGGGUGCAAGCGUUAUCCGGAACUAUUGGGCGUAAAGAGCUCGUAGGCGGUUUGUCGCGUCUGCUGUGAAAACUGGAGGCUCAACCUCCAGCCUGCAGUGGGUACGGGCAGACUAGAGUGCGGUAGGGGAGAUUGGAAUUCCUGGUGUAGCGGUGGAAUGCGCAGAUAUCAGGAGGAACACCGAUGGCGAAGGCAGAUCUCUGGGCCGUAACUGACGCUGAGGAGCGAAAGCAUGGGGAGCGAACAGGAUUAGAUACCCCAGUAGUCCCUGUCUCUUAUAC
This 301-nucleotide ribosomal RNA is filed under the name uncultured bacterium. RNAcentral describes it as "partial 16S ribosomal RNA". It matches the Rfam family "Bacterial small subunit ribosomal RNA", at positions 509 to 807 of the family's 1533-position model. The record is from RNAcentral.